RNAcentral lists this long non-coding RNA (793 nucleotides) under Anas platyrhynchos platyrhynchos (common mallard). Its description in RNAcentral is "lncRNA (ENSAPLG00000030709.1)". The record is from RNAcentral. Lineage: Eukaryota; Metazoa; Chordata; Aves; Anseriformes; Anatidae.
UCUCUGAGACUUGGCUUGCCAUGCAAAGUUUCACUUAUCAGAACCCACAACUCCCCAUCAGCUUGGAUUCCACACACUCUUUUUGAAGAAGAAAUCUACUUGCCAGUUUGAACUGCCUCUGGGCUUCCCAAGGAACCUCCUCUAGAAGAAGGAGCUCUUCUCUAGUUCUGUCACGUUUCUGCAGCAAAAUACUUUGCCAAAGUCUCAACAGAAGGGUCUAUGCUAGGCUGAUGGUAGGACUCGUGAGAAAAACAAAUAGCAACCACAGUACCAAGUGUUGUGUUAGCUAUGAAGGAAGCUCCAAUGCUGCAGAAACCAAGGGCCAACGAUCCAUAACAGUGUUGCUGUUUAAAAUGUGCUACAAGCUCCUUGAGCUCAGCUAAUAAAGGCCACAGAAUGAAAGAAAGUUAAAUAUGAAUGUAAGAGGAGACCUAAAUGAAGGGCUAGCUUGUACAUCUCACAGAUGACCUUCUGGAAAUGAGCAAGUGGAAAAUCCUUUUUAAAGCAAAUGGGAAUAGCUCUAUGAGAAGAAGCCGUUUGCUCUGUCCUUUCCCCAAGACUAAUGAAGAGCCACUCAACAUCUUCUUCCCACCUCUGUGGCAAUUGGGUAUCAUCCUUCCUUGCCUUGCAGAGGAGCAAGUGCCGAGUAGGCAGCUACCCCAAAACGCAUUGAACAGAGGAACACAGCAGUCCGAAUAACAGUCUGCAUAUUCUCAUUUUACCAGAGUAUUCCUACGUCUCCUAUGAUACCUGCUGUUCAUAAAAUGUUACCUCAAGAUACCUGGAAUAACCC